Molecule: ribosomal RNA, 301 nt
Filed under: uncultured bacterium
Lineage: Bacteria
Description: partial 16S ribosomal RNA
Rfam family: Bacterial small subunit ribosomal RNA
Source: RNAcentral
CAGCCGCCGCGGUAAUACAGAGGGUGCAAGCGUUAAUCGGAAUUACUGGGCGUAAAGCGCGCGUAGGUGGUUUGUUAAGUUGGAUGUGAAAGCCCCGGGCUCAACCUGGGAACUGCAUCCAAAACUGGCAAGCUAGAGUACGGUAGAGGGUGGUGGAAUUUCCUGUGUAGCGGUGAAAUGCGUAGAUAUAGGAAGGAACACCAGUGGCGAAGGCGACUACCUGGACUGAUACUGACACUGAGGUGCGAAAGCGUGGGGAGCAAACAGGAUUAGAUACCCCAGUAGUCCCUGUCUCUUAUAC